CCAGACGGCUGGACGGCCGCCUUCCGGAGUGAUCCGGGGGGAGGAAAGUCCGGGCUCCACGGAAAUACGGUGCCGGAUAACGUCCGGCGGGGGCGACCCUAGGGAAAGUGCCACAGAAAGCAAACCGCCCGUUCCCCGUUCGCGGGCAGCGGGCAAGGGUGAAAGGGUGCGGCAAGAGCGCACCGCGCCUCCGGCAACGGAGGCGGCACGGUAAACCCCACCGGGAGCAAGACCAAAUAGGGGCGGCACUGUUCCUCCUCGGAGGGACGAAACGCGUUUCCGCGUCGCCGCCCGGGUCGGUCGCGAGAGGCGUCCGGUAACGGGCGUCCCAGAUGAAUGGCCGUCCACCCUUCCUGGAAGGGGGACAGAACCCGGCUUACAGGCCGUCUGGCGCA
RNAcentral lists this RNase P RNA (395 nucleotides) under Magnetospirillum sp. SS-4. RNAcentral's name for it is "Bacterial RNase P class A". It matches the Rfam family "Bacterial RNase P class A". From Rfam's summary of the family: Ribonuclease P (RNase P) is a ubiquitous endoribonuclease, found in archaea, bacteria and eukarya as well as chloroplasts and mitochondria. Its best characterised activity is the generation of mature 5'-ends of tRNAs by cleaving the 5'-leader elements of precursor-tRNAs. Cellular RNase Ps are ribonucleoproteins. Lineage: Bacteria; Pseudomonadati; Pseudomonadota; Alphaproteobacteria; Rhodospirillales; Rhodospirillaceae. The record is from Rfam by way of RNAcentral.